This 86-nucleotide transfer RNA is filed under the name Candidatus Zixiibacteriota bacterium. RNAcentral's name for it is "candidate division Zixibacteria bacterium tRNA-Leu". It matches the Rfam family "tRNA". Rfam says of the family: Transfer RNA (tRNA) molecules are approximately 80 nucleotides in length. Their secondary structure includes four short double-helical elements and three loops (D, anti-codon, and T loops). The record is from RNAcentral. Lineage: Bacteria; Pseudomonadati; Candidatus Zixiibacteriota.
GCCGGAGUGGUGGAAUGGUAGACACCAGGGACUUAAAAUCCCUUGAGCCUUCCUGGCUCGUGCCGGUUCGAGUCCGGCCUCCGGCA